CAGAUGCUGAGGCCAGUGCUGACGUGGACAUGAUGAGUCAACCUCAAGAUGAAGAAAUGGGCGCUGAUGAGCCAAACCCAGAGGAAAAGGAGAAACAAGAUGAGAAGCAAGGCAAAGUCGAGGAUACGAGCGCCGGCAAUAACAAAGAUGAAGACUCAGACGUUGCUAACAGUGAAGAGAAAGCCAAGGAAGAGGGGCCUGAAGCAAAAACAGACCAGGAAGAAGAGGGAGAGGCUGAAGCUGAGGUCAACACACAGAUGUCUUUUGUGGAGAUGGACGAUGUGUCCAUCAAUGAAACUGACACCAGCAACAACGGGGAUGCGAAAGAGGAAGUUAAGAGUCUACCCGAUUCGAAUGCUACUGAGAACACGCAGUCCAAAGACACUAACCCUGAGAAGAAGGAUUGACCAGCUGAGGGGCAGACAAUCAACCUCAUCUGACAGCCAGCAAACUGUGCGGACCACCCCCCAACGCAGCGCCCCAAGUAGAGGGCCUCUCUCCACCCGACUGGAGCAAAACCAGUUACCCGUCACCAUGCGCUCACAUUCCAAUUCUUUUUUUUUACCCUUUCUUUAUAGUUUAAACAUUACGACUCAACCUGAACUAUGUAUGUAUGUACCUAUGUAUUAAUGUACAUACUGAACCUAUAGGACUUGAACAUAUCAGCGAGACGAUGAGCCAUACCUCACUGUGUGUUAGCCAUCUGCCAUUUUACCACCGUACUGUGUGUCUGAGAGAGAGAAACCAAGUCCUUUUUAUUUUCUAUGUGGCCACUGUCAUCGGGCAACAGCCCCUCCACUGCAGGCUGGGUAAUACUUAACAUCCAUUUUUGUUCUUGUCUUUACAACAUUAUGGCAAAUAACAUCAUAACCAACUCUGAAAUGGUCUCUACGUUUACAUGGAUAUGUAGAAUAGUAGAAUAUCGAGACCAUUUUUCUCUCCAUAUGUGGUUGCAUCACUUAAAUUGCAAUCUACGCUGAGAUUUUUUUUUCUAAUCUACCAAAACUGAUGACACUAUGAUGCGUUUAAGGCAGUCUGGAAUUUAUUAAAUCAUUUGGUAAAUGUCAUUUGAGAGUAUUAGAAUUUAGAAUUAUAAGCUUCCACUUCGACUCUUUGGUUUAUGAUAGACCAGAAGAGUCAAAAAAAAGACAAACUAGCUUGUCACCUGUACCUUGAAUAUCGCUGAUUUAAAAAUGUGUUGGGCUAAGGCAUAAAUGUAUUUUUCUUGACUUGCACGUAAAUGUAGUGAACGGUAUUUUACAGUGAAAUGACUCAGACACCUGCCAUACUCGUCACACACUGCUGCAACCGGCUCAGAUUCAAUAAUAACUAUUUUAACUAUUUUAUCCCAUACUCAGGCCUAAAUAACUACACCAAAUCAUCACACCGCCGAACCAGGAUGUGUGCGCCAUUAACAAUCCAUUAACCUCUUCCUUCGUCCUUACUGGGGCCAGUGCAUGCCAAAAUAUUACUUUUCACUUCAGCAAUUCCAUUCAUUACUUUGCUUUCACUUCUAUGUCCUAUACCAGAUUGUCUCAAUAAAAGGAAUCUGCCUUAUUUCUUAUUGACGGAGGUGGUCCACGUACUAAAUCUUAGAUACAUGCAGAUGAUUUGUAAUUUUACUCAUAAUGGCUAAUACCUACUGUUAACGAUUGCUUUUCCCUGAAUUUUAAACCUUUUUCUUUUUAGACGUUGGUACGAUUCCUAUAUCAUUUUGAAUGGUGCCAUGAUAAAGAUCAGAUAAAUGACAGUUCUAUGAAAUGAUGCCUUCAUACUUUGAUGUUUGCUUUGCUAAAACUAUAAGAGAAACACCUAAUAAAGAUUUAAGAUGAAAACCA
Molecule: long non-coding RNA, 1838 nt
Filed under: Neogobius melanostomus (round goby)
Lineage: Eukaryota; Metazoa; Chordata; Actinopteri; Gobiiformes; Gobiidae
Description: lncRNA (ENSNMLG00000003187.1)
Source: RNAcentral